Ananas comosus (pineapple) is the source of this 599-nucleotide long non-coding RNA. RefSeq lists it as uncharacterized. The record is from RefSeq and is a predicted model, not a curated record. The transcript has 2 exons. Lineage: Eukaryota; Viridiplantae; Streptophyta; Magnoliopsida; Poales; Bromeliaceae.
GUGAUAGGUCCCCGCCCCCUUUCUCUCUCUGUUGCUUAAUUCAUAUCCAGUUCGAAGUUUGUGAGCGCUGUAAGUAAUAGAUAAGAUGGUGGUGCGGAUGGUGUACGGUUUGGCAUUCAUUUCUGUCUCCUGCGCCUUCUUGAAGCUCCUCCAUCUUUUCCUUAUCCCGAUAUUCUACUUCACUUCGCUGGAGCUGGAGUGGGUUGAGACAGAAGCGCGCUUUUGCAGCUCUGCUACAUUUUUGGCGGGUUCGGCCCAUGCCUUCUACUUUAUUUUCUUAACAGAGGGAAUCUAUUUUUCUUACUUUUGCCCUUCACUUCGCACGAGGUGCGGGGGCUUUAUCAACCCGGAUCCAUUUUCAUCCUUAGUUUGCAGCAGCAGUUGUGAAAAAUGAUGUGUAUUCAAUGGAAAAUAGUAUGAGAAACUUAGGAGGUGUUACUCUCUAUGGAGAUGAGAAUAGAGGGGAAAAUAUAAGAAAAGGAGAGUAUGUCUUGUUAUUUGCUUUUCUAUUUUUUUUUUUUUUCCAUCGUUGUAAUAAACCAUGAAUUGCAAAGCGGGGGAACGAUUUUAAAUUGAGUUUUCCAGUGUGAUUUGGGUUU